This 29-nucleotide transfer RNA is filed under the name Tulipa sylvestris. RNAcentral's name for it is "partial tRNA-Leu". Lineage: Eukaryota; Viridiplantae; Streptophyta; Magnoliopsida; Liliales; Liliaceae. The record is from RNAcentral. RNAcentral also lists the same sequence under 10 other names.
AGAUUUUUUAAUACUUUCUUACUUUUUUA